AUGGGCAUUCCGAUGUCCCGACUGAGCACUAGUAACAUGAGCUUCCAUGGAGUUAUACCAGGGAAGAAGGCCGAGUCACUCGGCCAGAUAGCUUUGGACGUGGUGUUUGGUGAUUCGAAGCAUUUUCGCAAAGAAAAGUUGACGUUUGAGGUCGUGGAUUUUCAAAGUGCAUAUCAUGCCAUUUUGGGGAGACCAGCCUAUGCACGGUUCAUGGCUCGACCAUGUUACGUGUACCUCAAAUUGAAGAUGCCCGGUCCCAAAGGUGUGAUCACUGUCACCGGUGAUAGGAAGAAGGCAGAGGAGUGCUUUCAGAAGGGCUCCAAGAUUGCCGAUUCCCAAGUGACAGCGGUCGAGUUCGAAGAAUACAAGCAAAACGCAGAUCCGAGUGACUUGCUGCGAGCCAAGAAGCCCGCCACAGAGUCUGCAUUCCAGUCGUCCGGUGAGACGAAGCCUGUUCACAUUCACCCGACCGACCCCGAAGCAGCUCCGACCCGCAUUUCCACAACACUCGACCCAAAAUAG
This 522-nucleotide ribosomal RNA is filed under the name Triticum aestivum (bread wheat). RNAcentral's name for it is "partial small subunit ribosomal RNA". The record is from RNAcentral. Lineage: Eukaryota; Viridiplantae; Streptophyta; Magnoliopsida; Poales; Poaceae.